Molecule: ribosomal RNA, 250 nt
Filed under: uncultured Chroococcidiopsis sp.
Lineage: Bacteria; Bacillati; Cyanobacteriota; Cyanophyceae; Chroococcidiopsidales; Chroococcidiopsidaceae
Description: partial 16S ribosomal RNA
Rfam family: Bacterial small subunit ribosomal RNA
Source: RNAcentral
CUAGCCGUAAACGAUGGAUACUAGGCGUUGUGAGUAUCGACCCUCACAGUGUCGUAGCUAACGCGUUAAGUAUCCCGCCUGGGGAGUACGCGCGCAAGCGUGAAACUCAAAGGAAUUGACGGGGGCCCGCACAAGCGGUGGAGUAUGUGGUUUAAUUCGAUGCAACGCGAAGAACCUUACCAGGACUUGACAUGUUGCGAAUCUCAGGGAAACUUGAGAGUGCCUUCGGGAGCGCGAACACAGGUGGUGC